GGUUUCGUAGUGUAGCCGGUUAUCACGUCAGUCUAACACACUGAAGAUCUCCAGUUCGAAUCUGGACGAAAUCA
RNAcentral lists this transfer RNA (74 nucleotides) under Hypoxylon rubiginosum. Its description in RNAcentral is "tRNA-Val". It matches the Rfam family "tRNA". From Rfam's summary of the family: Transfer RNA (tRNA) molecules are approximately 80 nucleotides in length. Their secondary structure includes four short double-helical elements and three loops (D, anti-codon, and T loops). Further hydrogen bonds mediate the characteristic L-shaped molecular structure. tRNAs have two regions of fundamental functional importance: the anti-codon, which is responsible for specific mRNA codon recognition, and the 3' end, to which the tRNAs corresponding amino acid is attached (by aminoacyl-tRNA synthetases). tRNAs cope with the degeneracy of the genetic code in two manners: having more than one tRNA (with a specific anti-codon) for a particular amino acid; and 'wobble' base-pairing, i.e. permitting non-standard base-pairing at the 3rd anti-codon position. Lineage: Eukaryota; Fungi; Ascomycota; Sordariomycetes; Xylariales; Hypoxylaceae. The record is from RNAcentral.